GUUUAUCAAAAACAUGUCUUUUAGAAAUUAAUUUAAAGUCUAACCUGCCCCCUGAAUUUUAAAUGGCCGCAGUAUUUUAACUGUGCAAAGGUAGCAUAAUCAUUAGUCUUUUAAUUGAAGGCUGGUAUGAAUGGUUGGAUGAAAUAUUAACUGUUUCAUAAAAAUUAAUAAUAGAAUUUUAUUUUUUAGUUAAAAAGCUAAAAUUUAAUUAAAAGACGAGAAGACCCUAUAAAUCUUUAUAUUUUAUUGGGGUGAUAUUAAAAUUUAAUAAACUUUUAAUUUAUAAUUUACAUUAAUUUAUGUUUUUAUGAUCCAUUAAUUAUGAUUAAAAAAACAAGUUACUUUAGGGAUAACAGCGUAAUUUUUUUAGAGAGUU
This 376-nucleotide ribosomal RNA is filed under the name Apocephalus indeptus. Its description in RNAcentral is "partial 16S ribosomal RNA". The record is from RNAcentral. Lineage: Eukaryota; Metazoa; Arthropoda; Insecta; Diptera; Phoridae.